Molecule: long non-coding RNA, 1260 nt
Organism: Herpailurus yagouaroundi (jaguarundi)
Lineage: Eukaryota; Metazoa; Chordata; Mammalia; Carnivora; Felidae
Exons: 3
Source: RefSeq, a predicted model, not a curated record
UCAGAGUCACAGCACAGUAGGAGGAUUGAAGUGCUGGUGGGAGAGGAUGUGCUGAGAAGGAGAUGGAGCAGGUGAGGAGAUGGGCUGGGGAGACAGAUGGGCACUCCUGAGCCCUCUGUCUCUGCUCUGAAGGGGCCACAGCCUCCAGGCUGCCAGACUCCCUGGCAAGGCUUCUCCCCCCUCCUCCUCUCUUGCAUGAGUCCUGUGAAGGAUGGAGCAACAGUCUUCCUGGGGAGAGGAAGUGAGCUGUUCUGUCACACUGCCCUGUAUGUGGCCCUGGCACAUCAUGUGGUUCCAGAGACAGCCAGCUCCGGACCAGCUACCGAAGAAGGAAAAGCAGAGGGAUCCUGGUGUGGAGAUGGGGACUUAAUCUAACUUUAUCCCACUCUUUCUUCUCCUUCAGCCCUAACCAGAUUUCCUAACCAAAUUUCCAGCCCUAACCAAAUGAGCUUUCCUCAGAUCUCCAAAGAAGCCACUUGGGGUUACAACAGUUGAGUGUUAAAGAAAGUAUGCAUUUAGCAAGUGGCCGAAGACAUUUGCUGAGAUGCUUGUCCUCUGACGCCCUGCAGCUUGACUGCUGUAAUGGGAGAGAUAUGUUGGCUAUAUUUAUGCAGUCAAGCCUCCGAAGAGAUGGAAUUUAUCUGGACAUCACUGGAAAACAAAUUUUGUUGUGAAACCUCUGAAGAUGUGUUUUCUCGAGAGCAUCUGAAAGGAGGAGUUUACAGAGCCAUCCUUCUAAGGGUCUGUGAUUCCAUUGCCUUUUUGGUGGUGCUCCUAAUUCCUUCAUGACCCGGCUGAUACAACUGUGAACUAGGAAGUAGGAUUCAACCAAGACUCCAACUUGCAGGCCCCUUGAUCAGUGCUUUGCCUCUAAAUAACAAGUUUAGCUGACUAAAAAGACCAGGUGUCUAAUCGACUUGGCUGGUUGUGCUGACAGAUAUUUGAUGUGACAUCCAUUGACUACACUGAUGGGAAUUUGAAUAAGUUCAAGUCAAAAUGUUUGAAUUCAUCAGUGGGGAGUGUCAACCAAUUUUUGCUCUGGAGAAAGCACUCAAAUGUCUGCAUUUUACAAUGAGGAAGUACAAGCUGUUUGGCCUCAAGAAAUAAGUGAUCCAAGAGGAGAUUUUUUUGAAAGGACCUGAGUGAUAUUUUGUGUCUUCUGAUCUCUUGUAAGAACCUGAGUUUGUUCAGGAAAGACCAACUCAUGUGCCCAUUACAAUUACAUGGUCUCUGGGGGAAAGUAAAAGCAGUGGAAGUGAU